This 956-nucleotide unclassified non-coding RNA is filed under the name Hevea brasiliensis (rubber tree). Lineage: Eukaryota; Viridiplantae; Streptophyta; Magnoliopsida; Malpighiales; Euphorbiaceae. The record is from RNAcentral.
UUGCACAGUGCUCCCACUACCCUUACCACAGUAAUCAUGCAUUGUGUCAAAAUAUGUUCCCCCCACCUCAUCCUCUGGAGGACGCAAAACAUUGUGGAAAAAAAUAUUUAUGGAAUCAAAGUAGAAUUGUGGGCGUGGAGAAUUGUGAUCUCCUUCAAACUUGAUAAUAUUCUUGUCUCCAACAUAAGCUUCAAAUAUACGAUCUGAGUGAUGAGGUUGUAUAAAAUCAUCAUCAAUGGCAUGCCCAAAUAAAGCCGGAACAAAGCAAGCCUUUGCCACCUUGAUAGUGUUCAGGUCCAUUAUGUCAAACUUUGCCCUUUUCUGUACAGCUUUUCGCAUAUAUUGUAUUGCAAACUUCACAGUGAAUUUGGGGAAACGGAAUUUGUAUGUAUCCACAAGUUCCAUCAUCAGGUCAACCAAAUCAGAAAAGGGACUGUCAAGAACAAUUCCUGCAAUUGAGGGAUCUUCAGCUCCAUACAUCAGGCUGGUGACAGCACCCAUUGAACGGCCCCAUAAGCCAAUCAAAGAGACAUUUCCAUCUUGCCGCAGAUAAUCAACCACAGCCCUGAGGUCAUCUUUUUCAUUCCACCCCAGAGUGACAUGCUCUCCUCCAGAAAUUCCAGAUCCUGAGAAAUCAAGAGUGAAAACUGUAAUAUUUGAAGGCAGCAGUAUAAUAGCAGCUUCACUCGCAUCAGCCCUGCACCCACUGUUUCCAUGACAAUAUAUUACGCAUGGCAGUGGCUUUCCUCCAGGACUAACAAUGGGUAAGUAAUGACUGCACUGAAGAGUAUCUCCCUGGCUAUUUUUAAUCUCCAAAUCCUUUCUCUGGUACCAUUUCCUUUUCAGCAUAAACUCUUGAUCCAACAGGUCAUGUUUUGGAUUGUACUCAGCCCUGGGAGGCCGUAUUAUGAAGUUGACGAGCUGUUCCAUAGAGAUUGAAAACGAUCAAGUUGUUU